Molecule: transfer RNA, 75 nt
Filed under: Chloroflexota bacterium
Lineage: Bacteria; Bacillati; Chloroflexota
Also listed under: 2 other names
Description: tRNA-Asn
Rfam family: tRNA
About the family: Transfer RNA (tRNA) molecules are approximately 80 nucleotides in length.
Source: RNAcentral
UCCUCGGUAGCUCAACGGUAGAGCAGGCGGCUGUUAACUGCAAGGUUACAGGUUCGAAUCCUGUCCGGGGAGCCA